CAAUAGCGUAUAUUAAAGUUGUUGCAGUUAAAAAGCUCGUAGUUGGAUUUCUGGUUGAAGCGACCGGUCGGGCGUUGAUUCGUCUGCACUGGAGUCGGUUUUGGCCAUCCUCUAGGAAAGUGCGUCUGGUAUUAAGUUAUCGGGCGUAUGAUCCUGGUCUUUUACUGUGAAAAAAUUAGAGUGUUUAAAGCAGGCCUUCGCCUUGAAUACAUUAGCAUGGAAUAAUAAGAUAGGACUUUGGUCUAUUUUGUUGGUUUGCAGACCGAAGUAAUGAUUAAUAGGGAUAGUUGGGGGUAUUCGUAUUCCGUUGUCAGAGGUGAAAUUCUUGGAUUUACGGAAGACGAACUACUGCGAAAGCAUUUACCAAGGAUGUUUUCAUUA
RNAcentral lists this ribosomal RNA (381 nucleotides) under uncultured eukaryote. Its description in RNAcentral is "partial 18S ribosomal RNA". It matches the Rfam family "Eukaryotic small subunit ribosomal RNA", at positions 592 to 975 of the family's 1831-position model. The record is from RNAcentral.